AUUGAACGCUGGCGGCAUGCCUUACACAUGCAAGUCGAACGGCAGCACGGGAGCAAUCCUGGUGGCGAGUGGCGAACGGGUGAGUAAUGUAUCGGAACGUGCCCAGUCGUGGGGGACAACGUAGCGAAAGCUACGCUAAUACCGCAUACGAUCUAUGGAUGAAAGCGGGGGAUCGCAAGAUCUUGCGCGAUUGGAGCGGCCGAUAUCAGAUUAGGUAGUUGGUGGGGUAAAGGCCCACCAAGCCUGCGAUCUGUAGCUGGUCUGAGAGGACGACCAGCCACACUGGAACUGAGACACGGUCCAGACUCCUACGGGAGGCAGCAGUGGGGAAUUUUGGACAAUGGGCGCAAGCCUGAUCCAGCAAUGCCGCGUGCAGGAUGAAGGCCUUCGGGUUGUAAACUGCUUUUGUACGGAACGAAACGGCUUUUUCUAAUACAGAGAGCUAAUGACGGUACCGUAAGAAUAAGCACCGGCUAACUACGUGCCAGCCGCCGCCGUAA
Molecule: ribosomal RNA, 500 nt
Filed under: uncultured bacterium
Lineage: Bacteria
Description: partial 16S ribosomal RNA
Rfam family: Bacterial small subunit ribosomal RNA
Source: RNAcentral